Molecule: ribosomal RNA, 251 nt
Filed under: uncultured bacterium
Lineage: Bacteria
Description: partial 16S ribosomal RNA
Rfam family: Bacterial small subunit ribosomal RNA
Source: RNAcentral
UCAAGUCGAGGGGUAACAUUUCAGCUUGCUGAAGAUGACCCCCGGCGCACGGGUGAGUAACGCGUAUGCAACCUACCUUGUACAGGGGGAUAGCCCGGAGAAAUCCGGAUUAAUACCGCAUAAUAUGAUUGAUUCGUAUGGAUUGAUUAGUAGACGUUGGGGGGUACAAGAUGGGCAUGCGUAGCAUUAGUUAGAUGGUAAGGUAACGGCUUACCAAGACUAUGAUGCGUAGGGGGUCUGAGAGGAUAGUC